UGGGGAAUAUUGCGCAAUGGGCGAAAGCCUGACGCAGCGACGCCGCGUGAGGGAUGAAGGUUUUCGGAUCGUAAACCUCUGUCAGAAGGGAAGAAACCGCACCGUGCUAAUCAGCGGUGCAUUGACGGUACCUUCAAAGGAAGCACCGGCUAACUCCGUGCCAGCAGCCGCGGUAAUACGGAGGGUGCAAGCGUUAAUCGGAAUUACUGGGCGUAAAGCGCACGUAGGCUGCUUUGUAAGUCAGGGGUGAAAUCCCACGGCUCAACCGUGGAACUGCCUUUGAUACUGCUUAGCUUGAAUCCGGGAGAGGGUGGCGGAAUUCCAGGUGUAGGAGUGAAAUCCGUAGAUAUCUGGAGGAACAUCAGUGGCGAAGGCGGCCACCUGGACCGGUAUUGACGCUGAGGUGCGAAAGCGUGGGGAGCAAACAGG
This 429-nucleotide ribosomal RNA is filed under the name uncultured bacterium. RNAcentral describes it as "bacterial SSU rRNA". It matches the Rfam family "Bacterial small subunit ribosomal RNA", at positions 355 to 776 of the family's 1533-position model. The record is from RNAcentral.